GGGGGAUUAGCUCAGUUGGUAGAGCAUCUGCUUUGCACGCAGAGGGUCAGGAGUUCGAGUCCCCUAUCCUCCACCA
This 76-nucleotide transfer RNA is filed under the name bacterium. RNAcentral's name for it is "tRNA-Ala". It matches the Rfam family "tRNA". From Rfam's summary of the family: Transfer RNA (tRNA) molecules are approximately 80 nucleotides in length. Their secondary structure includes four short double-helical elements and three loops (D, anti-codon, and T loops). Further hydrogen bonds mediate the characteristic L-shaped molecular structure. tRNAs have two regions of fundamental functional importance: the anti-codon, which is responsible for specific mRNA codon recognition, and the 3' end, to which the tRNAs corresponding amino acid is attached (by aminoacyl-tRNA synthetases). tRNAs cope with the degeneracy of the genetic code in two manners: having more than one tRNA (with a specific anti-codon) for a particular amino acid; and 'wobble' base-pairing, i.e. permitting non-standard base-pairing at the 3rd anti-codon position. RNAcentral also lists the same sequence under 1 other name. The record is from RNAcentral.